RNAcentral lists this ribosomal RNA (457 nucleotides) under Alpioniscus busljetai. RNAcentral's name for it is "partial 16S ribosomal RNA". It matches the Rfam family "Bacterial large subunit ribosomal RNA", at positions 1929 to 2621 of the family's 2925-position model. Lineage: Eukaryota; Metazoa; Arthropoda; Malacostraca; Isopoda; Trichoniscidae. The record is from RNAcentral.
GGCCGCAGUAAACUGACUGUGCUAAGGUAGCAAAAUCAUUAGCCUUUUAAUUGAAGGCUCGUAUAAAAGAUUUGACAUAGAGCUUUCUGUCUUAGGGUUAUAUUUAAAAUUUUACAUUGAGGUAAAAAGGCCCCAGGCUAUUAAAAAGACGAUAAGACCCUAAAAUCUACUUAAAACUAGUUUCUAUUAAGGUUCUAUCAAUUUGGUGUAUAGUAUACUGGGGCGGUAAAUACAAAUAAAACUGUAGUACUUUGAACAUAUUGGAUGAAAUAUAUAUAUAACCUUUAUGAAUAUAAUAAGAUACUUUAGGGAUAACAGCAUAAUAUAUUUUGAUAGCCCCUAUUGACAAAUAUGUUUAUGACCUCGAUGUUGAAUUGAAAUAUCUGUAUUUAGAAGAAUAAAUAUGAGUGAGUCUGUUCGACUCUUAAUAUUUCACAUGAUUUGAGUUCAACCGGCG